GAUGAACGCUGGCGGCGUGCCUAAUACAUGCAAGUCGAGCGAACGGACGAGAAGCUUGCUUUUCUGAUGUUAGCGGCGGACGGGUGAGUAACACGUGGAUAACCUACCUAUAAGACUGGGAUAACUUCGGGAAACCGGAGCUAAUACCGGAUAAUAUUUUGAACCGCAUGGUUCAAAAGUGAAAGACGGUCUUGCUGUCACUUAUAGAUGGAUCCGCGCUGCAUUAGCUAGUUGGUAAGGUAACGGCUUACCAAGGCAACGAUGCAUAGCCGACCUGAGAGGGUGAUCGGCCACACUGGAACUGAGACACGGUCCAGACUCCUACGGGAGGCAGCAGUAGGGAAUCUUCCGCAAUGGGCGAAAGCCUGACGGAGCAACGCCGCGUGAGUGAUGAAGGUCUUCGGAUCGUAAAGCUCUGUUAUUAGGGAAGAACAUAUGUGUAAGUAACUGUGCACAUCUUGACGGUACCUAAUCAGAAAGCAACGGCUAACUACGUG
RNAcentral lists this ribosomal RNA (497 nucleotides) under uncultured bacterium. RNAcentral describes it as "partial 16S ribosomal RNA". It matches the Rfam family "Bacterial small subunit ribosomal RNA", at positions 28 to 507 of the family's 1533-position model. The record is from RNAcentral.